RNAcentral lists this small nuclear RNA (334 nucleotides) under Erinaceus europaeus (western European hedgehog). RNAcentral describes it as "7SK RNA (ENSEEUG00000017000.1)". It matches the Rfam family "7SK RNA". From Rfam's summary of the family: 7SK was discovered as an abundant small nuclear RNA in the mid-70s but a possible function has only recently been suggested. Two independent studies have found that 7SK RNA binds the CDK9/cyclin T complex (known as elongation factor P-TEFb). P-TEFb activates transcription by phosphorylating the C-terminal domain of RNA polymerase II. Lineage: Eukaryota; Metazoa; Chordata; Mammalia; Eulipotyphla; Erinaceidae. The record is from RNAcentral.
GGAUGUGAGGGCGAUCUGGCUGCGACAUCUCGUCUUGCCCAUUGAUCGCCAGGGUUGAUUCGGCUGAUCUGGCUGGCUAGGCGGGUGUCCCCUUCCUCCCUCACCACUCCAUGUGCGUCCCUCCCGAAGCUGCGCGCUCGGUCGAAGAGGACGGCCUUCCCCGAAUAGAGACGGACCGGUCUUCGGUCGAGGGUAUACGAGUAGCUGCGCUCCCCUGCUAGAACCUCCAAACAAGCUCUCAAGGUCCAUUUGUAGGAGAACGUAGGGUAGUCAAGCUUCCAAGACUCCAGACACAUCCAAAUGAGGCGCUGCAUGUGGCAGUCUGCCUUUCUAA